This 85-nucleotide transfer RNA is filed under the name Candidatus Ichthyocystis hellenicum. RNAcentral's name for it is "bacterium 2013Arg42i tRNA". It matches the Rfam family "tRNA". Rfam says of the family: Transfer RNA (tRNA) molecules are approximately 80 nucleotides in length. Their secondary structure includes four short double-helical elements and three loops (D, anti-codon, and T loops). Lineage: Bacteria; Pseudomonadati; Pseudomonadota; Betaproteobacteria; Burkholderiales. The record is from Rfam by way of RNAcentral.
GCCCAGGUGGCGGAAUUGGUAGACGCGCUAGGUUCAGGUCCUAGUGGUGCAAAACACCGUGGGGGUUCAAGUCCCUUCUUGGGCA